RNAcentral lists this ribosomal RNA (495 nucleotides) under uncultured bacterium. RNAcentral describes it as "partial 16S ribosomal RNA". It matches the Rfam family "Bacterial small subunit ribosomal RNA", at positions 28 to 507 of the family's 1533-position model. The record is from RNAcentral.
GAUGAACGCUGGCGGCGUGCCUAAUACAUGCAAGUAGAACGCUGAAGGAGGAGCUUGCUUCUCCGGAUGAGUUGCGAACGGGUGAGUAACGCGUAGGUAACCUGCCUGGUAGCGGGGGAUAACUAUUGGAAACGAUAGCUAAUACCGCAUAACAGUAGAUAUCGCAUGAUAUCUGCUUGAAAGGUGCAAUUGCAUCACUACCAGAUGGACCUGCGUUGUAUUAGCUAGUUGGUGAGGUAACGGCUCACCAAGGCGACGAUACAUAGCCGACCUGAGAGGGUGAUCGGCCACACUGGGACUGAGACACGGCCCAGACUCCUACGGGAGGCAGCAGUAGGGAAUCUUCGGCAAUGGACGGAAGUCUGACCGAGCAACGCCGCGUGAGUGAAGAAGGUUUUCGGAUCGUAAAGCUCUGUUGUAAGAGAAGAACGAGUGUGAGAGUGGAAAGUUCACACUGUGACGGUAUCUUACCAGAAAGGGACGGCUAACUACGUG